Mesocricetus auratus (golden hamster) is the source of this 625-nucleotide long non-coding RNA. RefSeq lists it as uncharacterized. The transcript is spliced from 3 exons. The record is from RefSeq and is a predicted model, not a curated record. Lineage: Eukaryota; Metazoa; Chordata; Mammalia; Rodentia; Cricetidae.
GUUGAAGACCCAGGACUGAAGGGGUCGUGCAGAGAAGCUGAGGAUUGACACCAUGAAGAGAGAGCCUGUGAGAGGUUGGCUGUUGGUGAAAGUGUAUCCCGGUCACAGCAAGGGACCCUAGCAUUUUGGAGAUGCCAGCACCACGGGACGGGACGACCACCAGGAAGAGCAGCAGAGUGGAGCCAGCCAGGGCCUAGAAGACGAGCUGUGUGUGCUGCAGAGAGCGGAGCUGGAGAAGUAAGCCAAGCCCUUUGGAGGAGCCCGGAAGAUGAGUGUAUCUUCAGGACAGAUUUCAGGAAAUGGAAGUCACUAUAUUAAAAAGUUCAAACAUUCAGGAACCCUAAAGAGCUGCUGGAGGUAGAGGAGAGAGGAGAGGAGACAGCGGCUCCUCCUUGACUGCUGUAAGGAAUCAGGAUGGUGAAUCUCACUCGGCCUGCAAAGGGAAUUCUGUCAGUUAUCAGUCACCUCCGCUGGUGGUGUCAAACAUUAUGUCACAUAAAAGCCUAGAGGACUAUUAUCUGGCUUCAUGCUGGAGCAAAGGGAACUAAGGCUGGGGUCCUCCCAUUGAGCCCCCUUGUUCCCCUCCUGUAGAUGACCGGCUCCCUCUCCUCAGCCAGUCUGAGUU